CAUUCCCUUCGCCCCGCCCCUUCGUCAGGCGAUUGCUAUUUGGCGGGAAGGACAGACGUCCCUGAGCUAAAGACACAGCCGUGAGGCCAUGGCGGGACGGCGUGGUGCCCUCAUCGUGUUGGAAGGCAUGGAUCGCGCUGGGAAGACUACCCAGUGCCGGAAGCUCGUGACGACGCUGCUGGAGUCGGGACACCGUGCAGAACUUCUCCGAUUCCCGGACAGAUCCACAGAAAUCGGCAAGCUGCUGAGUGCCUACCUGGAGAAGAAGAGCAACAUGGAGGACCACACGGUGCAUCUCCUCUUCUCCGCAAACCGCUGGGAGCAGGUACCGCUGAUCAAGGAGAAGCUAAGCCAAGGAAUCACCCUCGUGGUAGACAGGUACGCCUUCUCCGGCGUGGCCUUCACCAGCGCCAAGGAGAAUUUUUCACUCAACUGGUGCAAGCAGCCCGAUGUGGGGCUCCCGAAGCCGGACCUGAUCCUCUUCCUCCAGCUGAGCUCCCUGGAAGCCGCCAAACGGGGCAACUUCGGCACCGAGCGCUACGAGAACAACGCCUUCCAGGAGAAAGCCUUGCAGCGCUUCUACCAGCUAAUGAAAGACGACUCCUUGAACUGGAAGACCAUCGAUGCUUCCCAAAGCAUAGAAGACUUACACAGAGAGAUUUACUCCCUCGCUGAAGAGACGAUCCAGAUGGUCCAGGAGAGGCCCAUGGGCGAGUUGUGGAAAUAGAGCCGGCUGCCGUCCCUCUGGCACACAGGGAGCGGGAGAGCGCCUCGGCCCAGCCCUGGAAGGAAACGGAUUGGUACUAAAUGUGCAUAAUCAUCUAGGCCGACUUCAGCCCCACUGUUAACCUGAAAUGUAAUGGUGUUCUUUUGGAAAAACUCAGCUGUCUUAACUUUCCAUUCUGGUGUCCUCAUUUAAAAUUCAUCCUUUCUAUUAAAAUAGAAACAACAGGAAGACCUACAAACAAUUCUUUUCAGUAAAAAUGUAUAAUCAAUUGGGAAAAUAGCUGUGAGAAACUUAAUGUGUCCUGCCCCUUUGUCAAAAUGAGGACCCUUAAACCCUAAAUUGGAAGGAGAAGCACCUGAAUGCUGCUAUUAGGUAGUGUCAGUCACAACCACCUGUCUCCACUGGGAACGCGCCAGCAGGGCCAGAUUUCUUAAGUAGAAUGAAAAGUGACUUGAAACGUACUGUCCACACGAGGGAGGAGAGCAGCCUGCAGGACUCUUGGGAACGGUGGGAGAGCUGGCCUUGGCCAAGUGACAUUAGGUCACCUCUGUGACCUGUAUCUGUAUCUGAAAAGUGAGGAGAAAGCUGGGAUCCGUGGCUCACAGGGAAAUCAUUAGGAUUCAGGAAAUGUUAAUUAUUGGGGAUGGACAUCUUCAUGCUAGGCUGAAAACUUGUCAAGGGUUCAAGGUCAAGGGUUAUUUCUUCACGAUUCUCUCAGCAGGGGUAGAGAAAAGAGAAAUUGAGUUGGCAAGCAGGAGAGAUGCCGUGACUGGCAUUCAGUAGGAAGCUAGCCAAACAUUGCAGUGACUGGACAUUCAAGAAACUCAUCAGGCAGCUUUUGG
Molecule: RNA transcript, 1569 nt
Organism: Antechinus flavipes (yellow-footed antechinus)
Lineage: Eukaryota; Metazoa; Chordata; Mammalia; Dasyuromorphia; Dasyuridae
Gene: DTYMK
Gene name: deoxythymidylate kinase
Exons: 6
Source: RefSeq, a predicted model, not a curated record